Molecule: ribosomal RNA, 375 nt
Filed under: uncultured bacterium
Lineage: Bacteria
Description: bacterial SSU rRNA
Rfam family: Bacterial small subunit ribosomal RNA
Source: RNAcentral
GACGAACCGUGCGAACGUUGUUCGGAAUCACUGGGCUUAAAGGGCGCGUAGGCGGCUCACCAAGUCCGGGGUGAAAGCCCCCAGCUUAACUGGGGAAGUGCCUUGGAUACUGGUGAGCUCGAGGGGGAUAGGGGCGGACGGAACUUCCGGUGGAGCGGUGAAAUGCGUUGAUAUCGGAAGGAACGCCGGUGGCGAAAGCGGUCCGCUGGGUCCCUACUGACGCUGAGGCGCGAAAGCCAGGGGAGCAAACGGGAUUAGAUACCCCGGUAGUCCUGGCCCUAAACGAUGGGUACUAGGCUGUGGGCUUGACAUGGGCUCACAGCCGAAGCGAAAGUGCUAAGUACCCCGCCUGGGGAGUAUGGUCGCAAGGCUGAA